This 768-nucleotide ribosomal RNA is filed under the name uncultured bacterium. Its description in RNAcentral is "bacterial SSU rRNA". It matches the Rfam family "Bacterial small subunit ribosomal RNA", at positions 28 to 776 of the family's 1533-position model. The record is from RNAcentral.
GACGAACGCUGGCGGCGUGCCUAAUACAUGCAAGUCGAGCGAAGUUUUUCUGGUGCUUGCACUAGAAAAACUUAGCGGCGAACGGGUGAGUAACACGUAAAGAACCUGCCUCAUAGACUGGGACAACUAUUGGAAACGAUAGCUAAUACCGGAUAACAGCAUUAACUGCAUGGUUGAUGUUUAAAAGUUGGUUUUGCUAACACUAUGAGAUGGCUUUGCGGUGCAUUAGCUAGUUGGUGGGGUAAAGGCCUACCAAGGCGACGAUGCAUAGCCGACCUGAGAGGGUGAUCGGCCACACUGGGACUGAGACACGGCCCAGACUCCUACGGGAGGCAGCAGUAGGGAAUCUUCCGCAAUGGGCGAAAGCCUGACGGAGCAACGCCGCGUGAGUGAAGAAGGAUUUCGGUUCGUAAAGCUCUGUUGUUAGGGAAGAAUGAUUGUGUAGUAACUAUACACAGUAGAGACGGUACCUAACCAGAAAGCCACGGCUAACUACGUGCCAGCAGCCGCGGUAAUACGUAGGUGGCAAGCGUUGUCCGGAAUUAUUGGGCGUAAAGCGCGCGCAGGUGGUCUAAUAAGUCUGAUGUGAAAGCCCACGGCUCAACCGUGGAGGGUCAUUGGAAACUGUUAAACUUGAGUGCAGGAGAGAAAAGUGGAAUUCCUAGUGUAGCGGUGAAAUGCGUAGAGAUUAGGAGGAACACCAGUGGCGAAGGCGGCUUUUUGGCCUGUAACUGACACUGAGGCGCGAAAGCGUGGGGAGCAAACAGG